CCAGGACCUGCCCCUGAUGCGACUGAUCGGUAAAAUGUCAGAAGAAACUUUCUUUGCAGACAGCGAAGUUUUAAAAGGUUUUAGGUUCUGGGUCAGGAGAGCUGGUUUAUUUCUGGAAUAACUUCAAGAAGAGCUGUGCAGGCCCAUAUAGAUGUUGUUUUGUGACUGUGAAUCAGAGGAAAGGAUGACACCCUUCUGGAGGCCCACAUGCCGACGCUACUUCACAAAUUAAAAGCCGGAAACAAUGAGUCAAAGCUUUCCGGGGUCUCUUAUGACGAGCCAUAGAGGGACUCAUCAGGAUUGACCCAGGCUAAAGCAACGAUGAAACAAUGAAAUCGUGUUUGAAAUGGUGACUAUUGCUAUUACAAUAUGCGUUUUGCAAUUGACUGUCAUUACCUUUUUAUUUUUUGUAUUACUUUGUUCAUGUUUCACUGGUACACUUGGCCAGUAAACUUGUGUUUUUGUCUUUUAAAGCAGCUUUGCCUGUAAUAAUAGUUCUGUAGGGUUCAACAUCAUAUAUGAUCUUAUGGCGCCCCCUGGUGGCCAAACGCUUUCAGCAUACAGGAUUGUUUCAUUUGUUUUCAUUGAAUCUGUGGUUCAUGUGAGGGCUCAGGAGCCCAGCAAAUGCCAUUUUGCUCUCCACAAUGUUAAGUUUACUCUGAUUUUGUUUAUAAAAAUGAUUCUUCGAAAUUUCUCUCCAAUAUUAUUCUGGCUAGUUGUAAAUGCAAAUGUUGUUCAGACUGUUUCAGGUCUCCUCCGAGAUCACAAUGCGCUUCUUCCAUUAAGAUUAAUGUUGUUUUUACCCAGCAAAUGGGUGAAAAGUGUGUACUAUUAGUCAGUAUUGAUGUUUUAUUUUGAUCAUCAUUUGAUCUUGGUAAACUACAGAAUCUCAAGCACCGUGUGAGUUGUGGAUGCGUGUUAGUUUUUCAAUGCUUUAAUUAUUCCUUUUCUCUGUCCACACAGCUAAUAUAGGGCUGAUGGGAGAACAACAGGAGGAGUUGCAGUCAGAAGUCAGUCGGUACAAACGCUCUGCGAGAGUCUCUGAUGUGCAGCAGACCAUCAAUCACCAGCUUCUGUUGUUCAUCAGGUGAAAUAAACAUACAUGUCACUUCUAAUGUCAUUUGAAUCCUGUAAAAGAAGUGUAAGCUCUUUGAAAUAGCUGAUUUGAAAAUGUUCUGGUGGAGACUUAUUUAGAUCUGAUGGUUUUAGGGAUUGUUUUGAUAACUUAAACUAUAAAUAAAAUAAAAUUUCAUUGGGUGCACAAAGUAUAAAACAGGGUCUUUAUAGCCUCUAGUGGUAGACAGAUGCAUUACAACUAACGUCAUUACAUCAUAAGAGCUUGCAGACACACAUCAGUCUUAUUAAAAUAACAAUGUUAAAAACAGCCUUUAUAAAAAUGUUAAUUAUUUCAUUAAUUAAAUUCUGUGCAUUGUUUCAUGAAUCAUUUAGAUGAUGAACAUAUUUAGUUUAGUUUAAAAGAAAAGAAAGUGUUGUGCUUUAGAGAAUCUCGUGGCAGACAAUGGCAUUACAUCUAAUCUUACUAUCGGCCAUAAAAAUUAAAAUGAAUAAUAGCAAAAUGAAUAGAUCAUACAUAUCGU
Molecule: long non-coding RNA, 1598 nt
Organism: Triplophysa dalaica
Lineage: Eukaryota; Metazoa; Chordata; Actinopteri; Cypriniformes; Nemacheilidae
Exons: 3
Source: RefSeq, a predicted model, not a curated record